Molecule: long non-coding RNA, 582 nt
Filed under: Acromyrmex echinatior (Panamanian leafcutter ant)
Lineage: Eukaryota; Metazoa; Arthropoda; Insecta; Hymenoptera; Formicidae
Description: uncharacterized LOC105142940, transcript variant X3
Source: RNAcentral
CAGGGGACGGGAGUACGUCCUGUCAUUUAACGUUGAAAAAGUUCGCACCCUGUCUUCGAAUCGAGUGUGACUUUCUCCAUAUUCUAAUCUCUGUUGAAGAUAAAACGACGUUGGAAAAGUUCGCAGCCCUGUCUCCGAAUCGAUUGUGACUUUUUCUCCAUAUUCUAAUCUUUGUUGAUUAUAAAACAACGGAAUCUCUUGGAACAUAAAACGAUGAGAAACAACACGAAGGAUCUUUCAUCGUUGGAUUUCUUUAUUAAGAAUGCGGCGAAUACGAGAUGGUCGGUUUCAAAUGAGUGGCGACGCGACUUAUUUAAUUGGUACUGUCUACAUGUCAUAAAGUAAACAAGAAAAGAGAAAGAGAAGAGAGACGAGAAGCAGGCUUGAUAAUUCUGUGAAAAGGAGGAGGAAGAAGAAAAGGAGGAAGCUUAGGAAAAGCAAUGGAGCAAUUUUGCGAACUAUGUAGCCACGUAGCUGAUAACUCUACUGCUACGCAUUAGUCGGUGAGUGAUAAAGAUUUUAUCAGGUAACAAAUCUGUGAAAAAUAAAGAUUUUAUCAGGUAACAAAUCUGUGAAAAAUGU